Molecule: ribosomal RNA, 523 nt
Filed under: uncultured bacterium
Lineage: Bacteria
Description: bacterial SSU rRNA
Rfam family: Bacterial small subunit ribosomal RNA
Source: RNAcentral
AUACGUAAGUCCCAAGCGUUACCCGGAAUUAUUGGGUGUAAAGGGUUCGUAGGUGGACCUAUAAGUCAGGUAUGAAAGACCGGAGCUCAACUCCGUGUUUGUGCUUGAAACUGUAGGUCUAGAAUCAGGGAGAGGUUAGCGGAAUUCUUAGUGUAGGGGUGCAAUCCGUAGAUACUAAGAAGAACACCAAAAGCGAAGGCAGCUAACUGGAACUGUAUUGACACUGAGGAACGAAAGCGUGGGGAGCGAAGAGGAUUAGAUACCCUCGUAGUCCACGCCCUAAACGAUGAUAACUAAGUGUUGGGAAUUGUCCCAGUGCUGUAGCUAACGCGUUAAGUUAUCCACCUGAGGAGUACGGUCGCAAGAUUAAAACUCAAAAUGAAUUGACGGGGGCCCGCGACAAGCGGUGGAGCAUGUGGUUUAAUUCGAAGCAACGCGAAGAACCUUACCUACACUUGACAUCCAGAGAACUUUCUAGAGAUAGAUUGGUGCCUUGGGAACUCUGAGACAGGUGCUGCAUGGC